Molecule: long non-coding RNA, 1464 nt
Organism: Tupaia belangeri chinensis (Chinese tree shrew)
Lineage: Eukaryota; Metazoa; Chordata; Mammalia; Scandentia; Tupaiidae
Exons: 4
Source: RefSeq, a predicted model, not a curated record
GUCGCAGGGCUCGGCUUUGGCACCCUCUCUUCUUCCGUAGCUUUGGUCAACAGUUACAGUGACGAUAGCCUCAUUCGGGGGUGACUAAUGGGCCCGUUUUGUUGUUUGCAUUAGCAGAAGGACCACAGCCAUCGCCCGUCUCCCAUCUCCAAGAUGGCGGAGGCAGCUUCAAUCUCACCUCUCGCGAGGAGUUCCUCCCCCUGUCUCUGAUUAGCCCCGAGGUCAGAGGUAUCGCACGGUUCUGUGAGCGCCCGGGUGAUAGAUUUUUAGCAGUGAAAGAAGACGCACAGACGUCUCUUUUCGGCUGCGGAGGACAUCUUGAGUCUUCAGCCACACGAGGCCCACCGUGAAUCUGAACUAAGUGCUCCAGGAUCCUCUCUGAAUUCCUUGCCUCAGCAACCUGGCUUAGGCCUGUGUGUUGCUUAUUCUUAUUCCUCCAGAUUAAAUAAGUAAACAGAAUUCAGGACAAGCAAUGGCAACCCGAUUGAGGAGACCAAAGUGACGUAUGUCAAUUAAUCAGAAGUCCUUGCUUGGCACGUUAUAUAUUGGCCACCAGCCUGCACUGAAAACCGUGUCCUGCACAUCAAACGCUCCAGUUCUUAGACAUGUCCUCAUAUGCACAUACUUUCCUCUUCCUCAACUUCCCCCUCCAUAAGAAGAGAUAUCUACCUAAAUAGAACGGUGAGAGAGAUGAAUCAAAACCUUUCAUUUGGGUCAAGUUCCUCUAGGAAAAAGGCCUCCCAAGACUGCUGGAGAAUUGCAUCAGCUACUCUGGGUCACAAACGCAGACGAGGUGCUGUCUGCUGCUGCUAUUACUGUUACCUCGUGACGGGGGGCAGAGCUGCGGUCCUGGACAUAGGAAACAAGCUGAAGUACUUCUGACACACAUGGUAUUAAUAUGCCAGAACUACUAUUCAAAGAAACACAUUUUGGUUUACUGAGAAGCUGAAUAACUAACUUGAAAAAAACAAAAACAAAAAAACGCUUUGAACUUACAGACACCAAACGAAAGUGGCUAAUGAGUAGAGCAGGCUAUCAGAAGCCGUCUACCCUGUUACCUCAGACCCAGAGGGAAAACCAAGAACACAAUGCAGCCACCUUUCCACCGGCAGGACUGGCCAUUCAGUAAUUACAAAGGCCUGGGUUGGCACCUGCCAGACCUCACUGACUCCUAGCCCCUGCCCAGAGUGCUGCGAGAGGAUGACAGAGGCCGCAUCCAGACGCGGAAGGAAAGCUCAGAUUGAUUAGGGCUACCUGCCAGCAGCUUCUGAGGAAGGUAUCUGCCUGCUCUGAUGGCCAACUGAUGUUCUUUCUGAUUGUGGUUAUUUUGCUGUUUCUUAGCAUUUACAACAGAGAAUUAAAAGACUGAACCUGAAAUACAUGCUUUACAAUUUAUCAGUUACUUAGCAAAACCUUAGGAAGAGGUUGAAAUUAAUGGAUGAAGCAAUUAUGGGAUUGGAUUAU